RNAcentral lists this long non-coding RNA (281 nucleotides) under Solanum tuberosum (potato). RNAcentral describes it as "long non-coding RNA (STUB_LNC004697)". The record is from RNAcentral. Lineage: Eukaryota; Viridiplantae; Streptophyta; Magnoliopsida; Solanales; Solanaceae.
GUUAGUCACAUAGCUCAUAUUUUUAUUAGGUAUGCAAACUUCCUUUUUUUAUUUGUCACAACUUUCUCACACAAUUGAAUCAAAAGGAGUUGCAAGACUCACACAACCAACAAAAUUGUAUUUCACAAACUUUUCAAUAUUAUGUGACUCGACAAGGAAAAUACAUCACAUGUUUAAUGGUAUUUCUUCAUUUCAAGAAUGAAUUUUUUUCCUCACCCAAAACAUUUCAUGUUAAAUGGCUACUCUACAUGGCUUUCAUAAUUUAUUUGUAACUCUCAUGU